Molecule: ribosomal RNA, 513 nt
Filed under: uncultured bacterium
Lineage: Bacteria
Description: partial 16S ribosomal RNA
Rfam family: Bacterial small subunit ribosomal RNA
Source: RNAcentral
GACGAACGCUGGCGGCAUGCCUAAUACAUGCAAGUCGAGCGAACAGAUGAAGUGCUUGCACUUCUGACGUUAGCGGCGAACGGGUGAGUAACACGUAAGGAAUCUACCUAUAAGCGGGGGAUAACAUUCGGAAACGGGUGCUAAUACCGCAUAAUAUCUUCUUCCGCAUGGAAGAAGAUUGAAAGACGGCUCUGCUGUCACUUAUAGAUGACCUUGCGGUGCAUUAGUUAGUUGGUGGGGUAAUGGCCUACCAAGACGAUGAUGCUUAGCCGACCUGAGAGGGUGAUCGGCCACAUUGGGACUGAGACACGGCCCAAACUCCUACGGGAGGCAGCAGUAGGGAAUCUUCCGCAAUGGGCGAAAGCCUGACGGAGCAAUGCCGCGUGAGUGAAGAAGGCCUUUGGGUCGUAAAACUCUGUUAUAAGAGAAGAACAAAUUGUAGAGUAACUGCUACAGUCUUGACGGUAUCUUAUCAGAAAGCCACGGCUAACUACGUGCCAGCCGCCGCAGUAA